UUUUACCUCAGGACAUAGGCACGGGCGUAUUUGUUUCAUUUUGCUGGUCAGUAAGCACUGGUGUUGAACCAGCUUUCUUAUCACGGGCCUCACAACGUCUCUUAAGAAUGUCAUCUUUAUUGCGUGCAUAAUACUCUCUGUUUCUCUGCCUCUUUAAUUCUUUAGGGUCUGCAUAAAUACACACAACAAGUUGGGACAUAAACAACAAUAACAUUAUUAGAAUUUAGGAAAGGUUGAUGAUAGUUACCCGAAUUUUGGUUGUUACUUAUGUCCUGAAGUGGGGUGCGCGCCCCCGCACCGUUGGAAUCUGACAUAUCUUAGC
This 322-nucleotide long non-coding RNA is filed under the name Hordeum vulgare. RNAcentral's name for it is "long non-coding RNA (HVUL_LNC017847)". Lineage: Eukaryota; Viridiplantae; Streptophyta; Magnoliopsida; Poales; Poaceae. The record is from RNAcentral.